GUCUAAUGUCAUUCCUUGAUCCACUAAUAAUGCUUGACCAAAAAAAAAAAAAAAAGGAAGCUUCCCCUAGGUUAGGCAUAACUCUUUCCAACCUGAUUCUCAAUCUUCAAAUCUAUCUUGAUACUCUUCAAGAGCGCUUUCUUGCCUUAAUCUCAUAAAUUCUUCAACUACAUCUCCUAAUCCUUCAUCCCCCACACAUGCAACACAAUUCCUUCUCAAAAUCUUCUCUAAGAAUGAUCUCCA
RNAcentral lists this unclassified non-coding RNA (243 nucleotides) under Hevea brasiliensis (rubber tree). The record is from RNAcentral. Lineage: Eukaryota; Viridiplantae; Streptophyta; Magnoliopsida; Malpighiales; Euphorbiaceae.